Long non-coding RNA from Sander lucioperca (pikeperch), 1232 nucleotides. RefSeq lists it as uncharacterized. The record is from RefSeq and is a predicted model, not a curated record. Lineage: Eukaryota; Metazoa; Chordata; Actinopteri; Perciformes; Percidae. The transcript has 2 exons.
GGAACGCAGCAUAGGUCGAUUGAGGCUCGUCGAGAGAACGGGUUGCGUCAGUAAGUAGGCUGUCUUAUUCACUUUAAACAUCGGAUGAAGUGAUUAUUUUACUCUAACACAGGUGAUGCUGAGUCAUUAAUAAAUUAGUCAUGACAAAAAAAAUGUUAAUGUAUUUUUCCACGACUCCGCUAUGUUAGCAGGUAUAAAGUUACCUAGCUUGUUUGGUAGCUUAAUGGAUAGUUAAUUAGCUAACUUGCUAUCUCCACCCACCGUGCUUUCAUGCUGCACACUGCUUUAAGAAAUGAGCCAAACACCCUCAUCUGGCGAGAGCACUGUGCUUUUCUACUCUGUGACAAGAGUGUGCGGAUAAAACAUUAAGCGGUUACAUUUAACUCAUUUAGUGGCCAGCCGGCUGGCUAGUUAGUUAGCUUGCUUGCUAGAAGGCUGAGUACUCAGUUCAGCAUCAUCUGUAUUAGAGAAAAAAAUCACUUCAUCCAAUGUUUAAAGUGAAUGAAACAGCCUUGCCAGCCUACUUACUGAAGUUCCACAACUACACAUAUCCUAACCAAGUACAAUUUUAGCUGUAUUAUAUGUGUCCCCUUUAAUAAUUGCUCUUAAGAAAUAUGUUUUAAUAUUAUUAUAUAUUAUGUUUAUUGUCCCCCUCCUGUUAGAUGAAAUUUACGCCCAUGGCCGAGGUGCGUCACAACAGUGUUUAGCCUAGUCCCACUCUACUGUGCUGUGAUUGGCUAGUUCUACUGUAGUAUGCUCUAUUGACGUUCUGUUUCAACAUUGGACUACAUCGCAAUAGGGGUUUUGAAAAGACAUGGCCAAAAAGAUUCUGGGUGUAACACACCAGGAUCAUACUAGUCAAGACAUGAUGCAGUCGGAGUCUUAUUAUCACUAUAGAAAGUGAUAAUAAUGAUGACAAUGGAUGAGAGAGGGAGCUCAUGUUAGAGGUUAACUGAGAUGUGAGGGCGUGUUGGCUGCCUACGUACAAGUGACUGGUUUGGCAAACCUCAAAGACCUUUGACACAGACCAUCACCAAGUCCAUUCGUCAUCGUGAAUAGUAACUAACAGUGAAACUGAAAUUAAAUUCAAAGUUUGCAUCUCUGAAAUGACGAGGCAAUAACUACUUGUGAAGAACAUUUGCAAAUGUCUACAAAUGCUUGCUAUUGUUGUUACUGCAUUAUGUUUUGGCUGAAAAAGACGUGCUACGAAAUAAAAGCUUUACUGAACAAUA